Molecule: long non-coding RNA, 5620 nt
Organism: Octopus bimaculoides (California two-spot octopus)
Lineage: Eukaryota; Metazoa; Mollusca; Cephalopoda; Octopoda; Octopodidae
Source: RefSeq, a predicted model, not a curated record
AGUGUUGAAGUAUUUAUUUGUACCAGCCCACUUAUUGGAAAUUACAGAUACUGUGUCAGAGAGAAAUAUGAAUGGGUUGAAAAUCACUUUGGUAGUGACUGGUCAAGUAAAAUAAUAAUGACCACAGACAAAACAGUGAUCAAUGGUCAUCUUCUUAUUGAUGAUAGACCACAUAUAAGAGGUGCAAUGAAACAUCCAUCAUGGAAACAUAUUCUGUUUAGUGCCUGUCACAACAAUAAGAUGACAUUUCCUGAAAGCAAGAGACAACUUGAGAAUUGGUUAAAUGGUGAAUGGAGGGGGCUGAUUAGUGAGUUUAAGAAGAAACAUCAAAUUGAAUGAAAGACAGUGACAAAGGAAAUUUUGUGUGUGUGUGUGUGUGAGAGAGAGAGAGAGAGAGAGAGAGAGAGAGAUAAGGUGGGGAGAAGUUGAAUGAAAGAGGGAGAAUUUGUUAGAAUAUUGUAUUUUUUUAUAGAUUAUAUUAACAUUUCCAUGUAAGAAUUCUGGUAAGAAUUUUGGGCAUUUAUUUACUGCUGGGGCAAUUAUAAUUUUACAUUGUUUUGCUUCUACUAACCAGUAAGCUGUGAAAAAAUAGUGAACCAUGUGUGUCAGCCAGGUAGACUGAGAAUGAUGAACUAUCUGGCUCCUUUAGAGAACACAGAACAAAACGCAACGCCUGUACUUUAAUUUGUACUCAUGAUCUUGUUUAUACUAAUGAAUGGUUAUAUUUUUUCUUUUUAAGAUGUAAACAAUACAUAUUUUAUUUAUUGAAAAUUUAGAUAGUUUAAUCAUUACAAAUAUAAUACAAAACCACAUUAAAAUACAAAUCCAAGAAAACACAAACAUGAGUGAAGAAAGAAAGAAAAAAGAAGAGGAAAAAGAAGAAAGAAAAAAAACAUAAAUUCAACACCAAGUACUUCAAUUGGUUGCACACCACAAGUUCGGUGGAACCCAUUGAAGCAAGCCAACAUGCUCUCGAUAUUACCAGGUUUAAGCAUUGGAAGAAUCUGGCGCUGGUCUUGAGUAAAUAAUUUCACUGUUGUUUGAUAAUGACGAUGGUAAGUUAUGAGACAAAAGUCAAUCUGAAAACCAGGUACAAAGAUUUGUUUAGAAUGUAAGAAUACAUGAUUUACCAAAAAUCUAGGAUUAAUGACUGUGAAAACAUAAAAAAAACAAGUAAAAGAAACAAACUUUAACAAACAAAACACUCUGGAAUAAACAAAAUAAAGUAAACAAAUAAUAGUUGAUUGAAUAUGUAAACAUGGCUGUGGUAGUUAAGAGGUUUGUUUCCCAGUCAAAUGGUCAGAGUUCAAUUCUAUUGUGUAGCACCUUGGGCAAGUAUCUUCUACUAUAUGUCCUUAGAUAAUCUUAUUUUAUAAUUAUGAAAAUUACACUGGCUAAAAAUUCAUUCUGACUGCUUUUUCUAUAUGUAAAAUUCUAUGACAACCAAUCAAUCAAUCAAGUUUGAGUAGAUUGUACCACAAUGUCUAUUAGACUAAACAUGCCCUUACCUACAAAGAUCAGUCCCUACACCACUACCCAUCUAGCAUGUAAAUUAACUUUGGGAAAUUAUAUCAUAAUUUCUUGAAAUUAUGCACACUUAUGCUUUGGAAGCAUUAACAAUUGCUGCUAGUUUUUCUUUUUGUUCUAAGUGGUAAAUUUCAAUUUUGUGUUUGUCAUCCUUUAACUUAAUUAUCAAAAGUGAUGCUUUUAGCCCAUUUAACUUACUUCCCUUGGUGCAUUCUAUUUAUUUAUUAUAUUUGUCUUCUGCUGUAGCCUUAAGCUGGCUAAUAUUUUGUGAGCAUAAUCUGUUUGACAGAUACUGUGUGGAAACCACUGAAACACCACUAGUCACAAUGUAUUUCCAAUUCUUUCUCGAUUGAACCCUUCUUUUCCACCUUGGCCCAAAUCAUUUAACUAAAUAAUCUUCUUGUGGAGGCCUUUGAAGUGGCCUUUUCUGAUCUCUUAGAUACUACAUGGCAAUGACUCAAGUCUAUUUGUUGUUUGUGAACCUUGCAACAUACCUAGCCCCAGCAGCCCUUGUGUUUUCAGUAUUUUGUGAUUACAUCAAAUCAAUCACGUUGCUCUGUUCAUAAAUUGUGUCAUUUCAGAUAUGCUCUUGCAGUAAUAUUCCUUGCAUAAGUCUUUCCAUGGCCCUUUGUGUCAUAGUCAAUCAAUAUUCUCCUCUCUUCAUUGUAGCCCAUAUGUCACUUGCAUAAGAUGGCAGGUAGGACAAUGUUGUUGAAGAGCCUGGCAUGUAGGGUCUUCCCAGGCAAAUGUCUUCUAUCCUGCCCUCAUUCUUGAUAAAAUUUCACUAGAUUUCAGUAUUCAUGUCUCGGUGCAUAUUCACUGUGUGCCCAAAGUAGGUGUACUUCUUAACAUUCUUGAUUUGAUUGCUCUCCACCUCUAUUUGUCCUUGUGCUAUAUUUUCGGACUGCAUAUAUAUUGUUUUCAUGUGGUUCAUUCAAAGGCUUACUGUGGAUGUCCAGCUCUAUCUACAUGUUCUGUAGCUGAUCUGUGGGUUUGAUGAUGAAUAUGAUGUCAUUUGUGAAUUGGAGAUGUGUUAGUAGCUUGCCAUUGAUGUUCAAACUACCUGUCCUGUCAAUGUCUUUGAUGAUCAUUUCUAGACAUGUAAAGAACUUUGCAGUGAUGGUAUCUCCUUGUUUGAUGUCUUUCUCAACUGGAAAUCUUACUGGUGGCAUGGCAAUAGCAGAACUAUGUUGAUGGUGCACCCAGUGUUUGCAUCCCUGAGUAGUUUGGUGUAUUACACCUUGACUUCUUGAAUAUCCAGAGAUAGCAGCACUUUGUUUAUCUCAACAUGUCAAAAGCCUUUUUUUAUUUGAUGAAAGUGAUGCACAGAGGCAGCUUGUAUUCUUAUGCUUGGGGAUAUGUGACUAUCAUACUGUAGUGCUUAUGGAAACCUACUUGCUCCCUUAGCUUGGCCAUAGAGAUAUUUCAGUAGUCUGGUGACCAUGGCCUCUGUAAACAGCUUAUUGAGGAGACAACAGAUAUAUGGAGUGAUAGUUUCUUAGAUCUUCUUAUGAUGAUAUUCAACUCCUUCCACAACAGGUUUAUUUUACCCACUGUCAGAUAGCAAUUGAAGCAUAGGACAAGGUUUUUCUACUACCUUUCUAUUCCACUCCAAUUGACCCACUGAAUACUGAGGCUCAUUUGUUCACAUUGAUUUAGCUUUCAAGUGAUGCUACCCCGCUGGUUAGGUAAGCAGACAAUGAUUACCUUCAUACUUUAGCUAGCUUUCAGCCUCUAGUGAACAGACUAUGAGUCCACUUCAAUGAGACGAUCUUUCUAUACGGUCAGUACUCUGGUACCUUUAUAGUAUUGUUGGAUCUGUAGUACAUAUACCUUGCUACAACAGCUACCAAACAACCAUUGUCGCACCACUAUGAGGCACUGAAGUCAGGUUUUGCAAUAAAUAUAUAUAUAUCAUCUUUUUGUUGAUGUAUGUGGUGAAAAAUGUUAACAUAUUGAGGAAAUCACUCAACCAGAGCAUUCAAAUAAAAAUACUUUACAAUAUUUUAUACCAUAUAAGUGACACUCACACUUCCUUGCCAGUCUCAAUUUUAUGCAGUGAACCAGUGGAAUGAUUCAAAUGGAUCAAUCACUGGUUCACUGGAAUCCUAUAAUCAUUGCUAAUGUUCUUCACCAAAAUGUAAGAUAUAAUACACAUGUUUAUAUAUAUAAAAUGAAUAACAAAUUUUCAAUGACAUUUACAGUGUAAAAACUUGAUAAUUAAAAAUUCCAUAAUUAACAAUCAAAUAUAUUUUAGAUACAAAAUUAAUGUUCAAAAUGUUUAGAAAUCUUUGGUUUACCAAUAUAUUUUUGUGUUUCAUAUUUUCUUCAGAGAAUAAUCGAAUAAUUUUAAAAUAUCAAAAAUCAUUUUUUACCUGUUUUUUGUUGAAAUCACAAAAAAUGUUUAUGUUCCUUUCCAUCCACUCUGUACUCUUUAGUAAGAGAGAGAAAUCAGUGAGAUCUCUUUGAAAAUCAUUUGACCACCUCCAGUGACAUGUGGUUAUUAUCAUUGAGUUAUCGCCAUUGUGUUAACUUUCUAAUCCUGCUGCUCUGGUAUAAAUACUACUAAAAAAUAAACAUGAUGUAAUUGUUGUUUCUGAAUGUGUACUAUCAGAUUUGAAAACAAAUUAUGACCUCAUUAUUUUAUGAUAUUGCAACAACAUAGUUUAAAAGAAAAUAUAGUAACAUGAAGGGCAUUAAGCUGUAAAACAAUGCCUCAAUAAUAUAUUAAUUUAAUCCAUGUUGGCAUAGAAAUUUGAAUAUAAAAAUGAAUAAAAAUCAGUUUCAGAUAAUGAAUUUUUAAUAUAUGUAUAUAUAUAUAUAUAUAUAUAUAUAUAUAUAUAUAUAUAUAUACAUGCUGCUUAACAAAUACAUGAUGUGUUACAGUGGACUGUUGCUCACUCUUUAGUGCCAAUCUCCCUUUAUUAGCUGCCAGUGGUACAGUCAACUGGACUGUACAAUGGUAUUUUAGUAUAACUGCAACAAUAGUUCAUAACGGGACAAAAAAUUAGUUUCCCAUUAUGAUUCAUGAUUAUAUUAUACAGUGAGCUUAAUAUUUCUGAAGGAUUACUAUCUUUGGCAGCAGAAACCUAACACAAUCAGAAUAUAUACCCCUGAUCAAGAGUUUAUUCUUAUAUUUCAACCGUUGUUCCUAUUUCCUGUAUCCUAGUUUUAUAGAGCAAUAUCUGUAUUUCAGUUCAGACAGCAAACCAGAAAGUAAUUUUCUCCUGGAUUUUAUCCCCAAACCAGUAAUUUCUUUUGAGAAAUUUGUAAAGCCAACGUUCUAUAAAACUAGUAUAUAACCCAUGGAAUUGAUCUCUUCCUAACCUUAACAUAUUUGGCAGAAUUGUAAGUCUUGGAAAAAAUAUUUUCUGGAUAUUCUUUUGAUUCUUUAUGUUCUGGGUUCAUAUACCAGCAAGGUCAACUUUACCUUUCAUUCUCCUGGGGUCAAGAAAAAGAACCAGUCAAGUCUUGAACUAAUGGAAUUUGCUCACUCCCUCUCUUUAAAAAUUGUUCUGUGCCUUAAGUAGAAAUCAAUGUUUUGUUGAGAUGUGGAGGGAGUAAUAUAGUUAAUUAAAUUGAUUGGCUCCAUCUAGUAUAUUACUGGUACUAGUUUGAUUAAUUUCUGAAAGAUAAAAUGUAAUGUCAACUUGGGUGGAUUUGAAUUAUAUUGAAGGUUGAAAUGAAGUAUUGUUGAUUGCUUAGUCCAAUUGUGUUCUAAGGCUUCUGAAAACUCUCGGUAGGAUUUAAGCCAUCAUUUAAAAUCCUCGCAUUAAUAAUGUAAAAAUGGCUGAGAAAACAAUUAAAAAUAAAAACAGGAGCUACUGAAAGCAAAUGAGAACAUUCUAGAAAACUGUCUUUGAGAGGUGCAGUAAGAUUAUUAAUCUGGUUGACAACUUUCUUUUAUGUUCUUGGACCCCCACUCACCUGUCAAUGACAAAAACUCUCAAAUUCCUCUACAGUAUAGCAUUCUUCUGGUAAAAGAUAUAAUGUGAAAAGACAAUUUAUUUUGAAACAAGAAUAUAUUUAAUGCUAAUGUAUUUAAUAUCAAUAUUAAUGUUUGAAAAAAUAAAGUCAAAUCAACAAUAACAAA